UACGUAGGGGGCAAGCGUUGUCCGGAAUCAUUGGGCGUAAAGCGCGUGUAGGCGGCUUCGUAAGUCCGUUGUGAAAGUCCAGGGCUCAACCCUGGAAUGCCGAUGGAUACUGCGGAGCUAGAGUCCGGAAGAGGCGAGUGGAAUUCCUGGUGUAGCGGUGAAAUGCGCAGAUAUCAGGAGGAACACCAAUGGCGAAGGCAGCGCGCUGGGACGGUACUGACGCUGAGACGCGAAAGCGUGGGGAGCAAACAGG
RNAcentral lists this ribosomal RNA (253 nucleotides) under uncultured bacterium. RNAcentral's name for it is "partial 16S ribosomal RNA". It matches the Rfam family "Bacterial small subunit ribosomal RNA", at positions 524 to 776 of the family's 1533-position model. The record is from RNAcentral.